GUUGAUCAGCGAGUGGAGGCUGAGUUGCGGUGGAGGUGGAUUCAUGGCGGGUGGUUGGGGCGAGUUGCCCUAUCGCUCUAUCAGCAUUAGUGGCAAAGGGGCGGAGGUUGGAAGCAGUGUGGCGUCGCGGCAGCAUGGAGUAGCAGUACGCCACCCGUUGAGCCAAAAGGGGCGCCACGCCGCUGCGUGUCGUCGAACGAACAGGCUACCAGUGGGGACUACACUUAAAAAUAUACAUUGUGUAAAAGUAGACAUAUGUCGGAAACACACACAAAAAACUGAUGAAGAAACGCCAAAACACAACAAAGAAAAACCAAUGAAAUCCAUAAAAAAUCAGUGAAGAAGCAAAGAAAACCAUGAAAACCACAGAAAACAGGUGAAGAAAUGAACUAAAACAGAAAGAUGGAAAAUAGUAAUGAAACAAAGUAAAACACGAAAACCCAAAGAAAACGCAAAAUACCUUAGCCCUACCAAUUAAUAAGUGAAAUUUCUUGCUCGCCCACAUUGUACAUCACUAGUUUCGUGCUAUAGUAGCCCCACUUUAUGGGGAUAUACACUUUCUUUCCCCCAACCGCAGUGUGCCCCGUCUCCUCAAUGGCAUACAUAUGCAAGAUGGUUUCAAACGGAUACAUAACGACAAUACUUUGGUUCUCAACCGAUAUCAUUUCGCUCCAGUCGGUUGUCUCAGAUGGGUAAACGGAGGCAAACAUGGUCUUCUCUACCACGUUUGGAGCCGACGAAAGCCACGAGGAUGGGACCGCCAUGGUAGCCCAGGGGUCACAACAGUCCUUGGCGCAGAGGUUUGUGACCAUCCAGGUUAUCUCCUAUUCUGCAGAAAGUAUCUUCAAUAGCUUGGAGUAGGUGGAACUCACCCGCUGGUUUUCAUGAUGGGGUCCCAAACAAUGAAAUCUGUAUCCUUCCCAGGCGUGUAGAAGAGGACACGGGCAUGGCGGGAUUCGACCGCAUCCCAGUCUUCGUUCUCGCAAACGAGUGUGCAUAAGGCUUUGUUGGGAACGAAUUGAGCGACGUCAUUGCUUUCAUAGGAUUUGUUGUGGAGGUAGCCCAAGACCGUGGGCGUCCCAUGGAAUGCCCGAUAGUCGUGAAAAAAGGCAUGGUCAAAGAUAAUCUCGAUCAAGGUGGUGCAGACGGCAAAGGCGUGGACGAGGCUGUUGGGGAACGCGGUAAUUUCAAAAAAAUCCUACGCACACGCAAGAUCUAUCAUGGUGAUGCAUAGCAACGAGAGGGAAGAGUGUUGUCUACGUACCCUCGUAGACCGUAAGCGGAAGCGUUAUGAAAACGUGGUUUAUGUAGUCGUACAUCUUCACGAUCCGACCGAUCCUAGUACUGAAAGUACGGCGCCUCCGCGAUCGUGAAGACGUACUUUCGGUACUUGGAUCACGGAGGUGCCGUACUUUCGUUACUAGGAUCGGUGAUGUCCCACGAACUCUCGAUCCAGCUGAGAGUCGAGGGAGAACUUCGUCAGCACGACGACGUUAUGAUGGUGAUGAUGAAGCUACCGGCGCAGGGCUUUGCCUAAGCACGAUGACGAUAUGACCGAGGUGGAUUAUGGUGGAGGGGGGCACCGCACACGGCUAAGACAAUGAUCAACUUUUGUGUCUAUGGGGUGCCCCCCUCCCCGUAUAUAAAGGAGUGGAGGAGGGGGGAGGGACGACCCUCUAUGGAGCGCCCUAGGGGAGUCCUACUCCCACCGGGAGUAGGAUUCCCCCCUUCCAAGUAGUAGGAGUAGGAGAGAAGGAAGGGGAGGAGAGAGGGAAGGAAAGGGGGGCCCACCCAAUUCGGAUUGGGCUAGGGGGCGCGCCUCCCACCUUUUCCCUUCCUCUCCUCUAUUCCAAUAAGGCCCAAUAAGGCCCAUAUACUCCCCGGGGGGUUCCGGUAACCUCCCGAUACUCUGGAAAAUGCCCGAACUCAUCUGGAACCAUUCCGAUGUCCAAACAUAGGCUUCCAAUAUAUCGAUCUUUACGUCUCGACCAUUUCAAGACUCCUCGUCGUUUUCGUGAUCAUAUCCGGGACUCCGAACUACCUUCGGUACAUCAAAACACAUAAACUCAUAACACCGAUCGUCACCGAACGUUAAGCGUGCGGACCCUACGGGUUCGAGAACUAUGUAGACAUGACCGAGACUCAUCUCCGGUCAAUAACCAAUAGCGGAACCAGGAUGCUCAUAUUGGUUCCUACAUAUUCUACGAAGAUCUUUAUCAGUCAAACCGCACAACAACAUACGUUGUUCCCUUUGUCAUCGGUAUGUUACUUGCCCGAGAUUCGAUCGUCGGUAUCUCAAUACCUAGUUCAAUCUCGUUACCGGCAAGUCUCUUUACUCGUUCCAUAAUGCAUCAUACGCAAAUAACUCAUUAUUCACAUUGCUUGCAAGGCUUAUAGUGAUGUGCAUUACCGAGAGGGCCUAGAGAUACCUCUUCGAUACUCGGAGUGACAAAUCCUAAUCUCGAUCUAUGCCAACUCAACAAACACCAUCGGAGACACCUGUAGAGCAUCUUUACAGUCACCUAGUUACGUUGUGGCGUUUGAUAGCACACUAAGUUUUCCUUCGGUAUUCAAGAGUUGCAUGACUCAUAGUCAUAGGAAGAACAUGUAUAAGUUAUGGAGAAAGCAAUAGCAACAAACUAAACGAUCAUCAUGCUAAGCUAACGGAUGGGUCAAGUCAAUCACAUCAUUAUCUAAUGAUGCGAUCCCGUUAAUCAAAUGACAACUCAUGUCUAUGGUCAGGAAACAUAACCAUCAUUGAUUCAACGAGCUAGUCAAGUAGAGGCAUACUAGUGACACUCUGUCUGUCUAUGUAUUCACACAUGCACUAAGUUUCCGGUUAAUACAAUUCUAGCAUGAAUAAUAAACAUUUAUCAUGAUAUAAGGAAAUAUAAAUAACAACUUUAUUAUUGCCUCUAGGGCAUAUUUCCUUCAGUCUCCCACUUGCACUAGAGUCAAUAAUCUAGAUUACAUUGUAAUGAUUCUAACACCCAUGGAGUCUUGGUGCUGAUCAUGUCUUGCUCGUAAGAGAGGCUUAGUCAAUGGGUCUGCAACAUUCAGAUUCGUAUGUAUCUUGAAAAUCUCCAUGUCUCCCUCAUUGACUUGAUCGCGAAUGGAAUUGAAGCAUCUCUUGAUGUGCUUGGUUCUCUUGUGAAAUCUGGAUCCCUUUGCCAAGGCAAUUGCACUAGUGUUGUCACAAAAUAUUUUCAUUUGACCCGAUGCACUAGAUAAUACACCUAGAUCGGAUAUGAACUCCUUCUUCCAGACUCCUUCAUUUGCUGCUUCCGAAGCAGCUAUGUACUCCGCUUCACACGUAGAUCCCGCCACGACGCUCUGCUUGGAAUUGCACCAACUGACAGCUCCACCAUUUAAUAAAAAUUCGUAUCCGGUUUGUGACUUAGAGUCAUCCGGAUCAGUGUCAAAGCUUGCAUCGACAUAACCGUUGAUGACGAGCUCUUUGUCACCUCCAUAAACGAGAAACAUAUCCUUAGUCCUUUUCAGGUAUUUCAGGACGUUCUUGACUGUACCGUUGUCCAGUGAUCCACUCCUGGAUUACUUUGGUACCUCCCUGCUAAACUAAUAGCAAGGCACACAUUAGGUCUGGUACACAACAUUGCAUACAUGAUAGAACCUAUGGCUGAAGCAUAUGGAAUGACUUUCAUUUUCUCUCUAUCUUCUGCAGUGGUCGGGCAUUGAGUCUGACUCUAACUUCACACCUUGUAACACAGGCAAGAACCCUUUCUUUGCUUGAUCCAUUUUGAACUUCUUCAAAACUUUAUCAAGGUAUGUGCUUUGUGAAAGUCCAAUUAAGCGUCUUGAUCUAUCUCUAUAGAUCUUGAUGCCCAAUAUAUAAGCAACUUCAUCGAGGUCUUUCAUUGAAAAAUUCUUAUUCAAGUAUCCUUUUAUGCUAUUCAGAAAUUCAGUAUCAUUUCCGAUCAACAAUAUGUCAUCUACAUAUAAUAUCAGAAAUGCUACAGAGCUCCCACUCACUUUCUUGUAAAUACAAGCUUCUCCAAAAGUCUGUAUAAAACCAUAUGCUUUAAUCACACUAUCAAAGCGUAUAUUCCAACUCCGAGAGGCUUGCACCAGUCCAUAAAUGGAUAGUUGGAGCUUGCACACUUUGUUAGCACCUUUUGGAUCGACAAAACCUUCUGGUUGCAUCAUGUACAACUCUUCUUUAAGAUAUCCAUUAAGGAAUGCAGUUUUGACAUCCAUUUGCCAAAUUUCAUAAUCAUAAAAUGCGGCAAUUGCUAACAUGAUCUGGACGGACUUAAGCAUCGCUACGGGUGAGAAGGUCUCAUCGUAGUCAACUCCUUGAACUAGUCGAAAACCUUUUGCAACAAGUCGAGCUUUGUAGACAGUAACAUUACCGUCAACGUCGGUCUUCUUCUUGAAGAUCCCUUUAUUCCCUAUGGCCUGCCGAUCAUCGGGAAAGUCAACCAAAGUCCAUACUUUGUUCUCAUACAUGGAUCCCAUCUCAGAUUUCAUGGCCUCAAGCCAUUUUGCGGAAUCUGGGCUCAUCAUCGCUUCCUCAUAGUUCGUAGGUUCGUCAUGGUCAAGUAACAUGACCUCCAGAAUAGGAUUACCAUACCAUUCUGGUGCGAAUCUUACUCUGGUUGACCUACGAGGUUCGGUAGUAACUUGAUCAGAAGCUUCAUAAUCAUCAUCAUUAGCUUCCUCACUUACUGGUGUAGGAAUCACUGGAACUGAUUUCAGUGAUGAACUACUUUCCAAUAAGGGAGAAGGUACAAUUACCUCAUCAAGUUCUACUUUCCUCCCACUCACUUCUUUCGAGAGAAACUCCUUCUCUAGAAAGGAUCAAUUCUUAGCAAUGAAUAUCUUGCCUUCGGAUCUGUGAUAGAAGGUGUACCCAACAGUCUCUUUUGGUAUACUAUGAAGACACAUUUCUCCAAUUUGGGUUCGAGCUUAUCAGGUUGAAGCUUUUUCACAUAAGCAUCGCAGCCUCAAACUUUAAGAAAUGACAACUUGGGUUUCUUGCCAAACCAUAGUUCAUAAGGUGUCGUCUCAACGGAUUUAGAUGGUGCCCUAUUUAACGUGAAUGCAGUCGUCUCUAAAGCAUAACCCCAAAACGAUAGUGGUAAAUCAGUAAGAGACAACAUAGAUUGCACCAUAUCUAGUAAAGUACGAUUACGACGUUCGGACACACCAUUACGCUAUGGUGAUCCGGGUGGCGUGAGUUGCGAAACUAUUCCGCAUUGUUUCAAAUGAAGACCAAACUCGUAACUCAAAUAUUCUCCUCCACGAUCAGAUCGUAGAAACUUUAUUUUCUUGUUACGAUGAUUUUGCACUUCACUCUGAAAUUCUUUGAACUUCUCAAAUGUUUCAGACUUAUGUUUCAUUAAGUAGAUAUACCCAUAUCUGCUCAAAUCAUCUGUGAAGGUGAGAAAAUAACGAUAUACGCCGCGAGCCUCAAUGUUCAUUGGACCACAUACAUCAGUAUGUAUGAUUUCCAAUAACUCUUUUGCUCGCUCCAUUGUUCCGGAGAACGGAUUUUUAGUCAUCUUGCCCAUGAGGCAUGGUUCGCAAGUACCAAGUGAUUCAUAAUCAAGCGAUUCCAGAAGUCCAUCAGAAUGUAGUUUCUUCAUGCGCUUUACACCAAUAUGACCCAAAUGGCAAUGCCACAAAUAAGUUGCACUAUCAUUAUCAACUUUGCUUCUUUUGGCUUCAAUACUAUGAAGUGUAUCACUACUAUCAAGAUUUAGUAAAAAUAGACCACUCAUAAAAGGUGCAUGACCAUAAAAGAUAUUACUCAUAUAAAUAGAACAACCAUUAUUCUCUGAUUUAAAUGAAUAACCGUCUCACAUCAAACAAGAUCCAGAUAUAAUGUUCAUGCUCAAAGCUGGCACCAAAUAACAAUUAUUUAGGUCUAAAACUAAUCCCGAAGUUAGAUGUAGAGGUAGCAUGCCAACGGUGAUCACAUCGACUUUGGAACCAUUUCCCGCGCGCAUCGUCACCUCAUCCUUAGCCAAUCUUCGCUUAAUCCGUAGCCCCUGUUUUGAGUUGCAAAUAUUAGCAACGGAACCAGUAUCAAAUACCCAGGCACUACUGCAAGCAUUAGUAAGGUACACAUCAAUAACAUGUAUAUCAAAUAUACCUUUCACUUUGCCAUCCUUCUUCUCCGCUAAAUACUUGGGGCAAUUCCGCUUUCAGUGACCAGUCCCUUUGCAGUAGAAGCACUCAGUUUCAGGCCUAGGUCCAGACUUGGGUUUCUUCACUUGAGCAGCAAAUGGUUUGCUGUUCUUCUUGAAGUUCCCCUUCUUCCCUUUACCCUUUUUUCUUGAAACUAGUGGUCUUGUUGACCAUCAACACUUGAUGCUCUUUCUUGAUUUCUACCUCCGCAGCCUUUAGCAUUGCGAAGAGCUCGAGAAUAGUCUUAUCCAUCCCUUGCAUAUUACAGUUCAUCACGAAGCUCUUGUAGCUUGGUGGCGGUGAUUGAAGAACUCUGUCAAUGACACUAUCAUCAGGAAGAUUAACUCCCAGCUGAGUCAAGUGGUUGUGGUACCCAGACAGUCUGAGUAUAUGUUCAUUGACAGAACUAUUCUCCUCCAUUUUGCAGCUGUAGAACUUAUUGGAGACUUCAUAUCUCUCAAUCCGGGCAUUUGCUUGAAAUAUUAACUUCAACUCCUGGAACAUCUCAUAUGCUCCAUGACGUUCAAAACAUCGUUGAAGUCCCGGUUCUAAGCCGUAAAGCAUGGCACACUGAACUAUCGAGUAGUCAUCAGCUUUGCUCUGCCAGGUGUUCACAAAAUCUGGCAUUGCUCCUGCAGCGGGUUUGUCACCUAGCGGUGCUUCUAGGACGUAAUUCUUUUGUGCAACAAUGAGGAUAAUCCUCAAUUUACGGACCCAGUCUGUGUAGUUGCUACCAUCAUGUUUCAACUUAGCUUUCUCUAGGAACACAUUAAAAUUCAACGGAACAACAACACGGGCCAUCUAUCUACAACAACAUAGACAUGCAAAAUACUAUCAGGUACUAAGUUCAUGAUAUAUUAAAGUUCAAUUAAUCAAAUUACUUAAGAACUCCCACUUAGAUAGACAUCUCUCUAAUCAUCUAAGUGAUCACGUGAUCCAUAUCAACUAAACCAUGUCCGAUCAUCACGUGAGAUGGAGUAGUUUUCAAUGGUGAACAUCACUAUGUUGGUCAUAUCUACUAUAUGAUUCACGCUCGACCUUUCGGUCUCAGUGUUCCGAGGCCAUAUCUGCAUAUGCUAGGCUCGUCAAGUUUAACCCGAGUAUUCUACGUGUGCAAAACUGGCUCGCACCCAUUGUAUGUGAACGCAGAGCUUAUCACACCCGAUCAUCACGUGGUGUCUCGGCACGAUGAAUUGUAGCAACGGUGCAUACUCAGGGAGAACAUUUGUACCUUGAAAUUUAGUGAGAGAUCAUCUUAUAAUGCUACCACCGAACUAAGCAAAAUAAGAUGCAUAAAGGAUAAACAUCACAUGCAAUCAAUAUAAGUGAUAUGAUAUGGUCAUCAUCAUCUUGUGCCUUUGAUCUCCAUCUCCAAAGCACCGUCAUGAUCACCAUCGUCACCAGCUUGACACCUUGAUCUCCAUCGAAGCAUCGUUGUCGUCUCGCUAACUAUUGUUGCUACGACUAUCGCUACCGCUUAGUGAUAAAGUGAAGCAAUUACAUGGCAGUUGCAUUUCAUACAAUAAAGCGACAACCAUAUGGCUCCUGCCAGUUGCCGAUAACUCUGUUACAAAAAAUAUGAAUUUAGCAUCAUGCCUUGACCAUAUCACAUCACAACAUGCCCUGCAAAAACAAUUUAGAUGCCCUCUACUUUGUUGUUGCAAGUUUUACGUGGCUGCUACAGGCUGAGCAAGAGCCAUUCUUACCUACGCAUCAAAAGCCACAACGCGGUAUAGUGAUUGCUUUUGAUCUUCAGAAAGAACCAUGUUCAUUGAAUCCAAUUCAACUAAAGUUGGAGAAACUGACACCAACUAGCCACCUGUGUGCGAAGCACGUCGGUAGAACCAAUCUCGCGUAAGCAUACGCGUAAUGUCGGUAUGGGCCGCUUCAUCCAACAAUACCGCUGAAUCAAGAAUCAACUAGUGACGGCAAGCAAUAUGUAUAUACCCACGCCCACAACUCCUUUGUGUUCUAUUCGUGCAUAUAACAUCUACGCAUAGACCUGGCUCUGAUGCCACUAUUGGGGAACGCGGUAAUUUAAAAAAAAAUCCUACGCACACGCAAGAUCUAUCAUGGUGAUGCAUAGCAACGAUCGGGAAGAGUGUUGUCCACGUACCCUCAUAGAACGUAAGAAGAAGCAUUAUGACAACGCUGUUGAUGUAGUCGUACGUCUUCACAAUCCGACCGAUCCUAGUAACGAAAGUACGACACCUCCGUGAUCUACACACGUUCAACUCGGUGACGUCCCACGAACUCUUGAUCCAGCUGAGUGGUGAGGGAGAGCUUCAUCAGCACGACGGUGUGAUGACGGUGAUGAUGAAGCUACCGGCGCAGGGCUUAGCCUAAGCACUACGACGAUAUGACCGAGGUGGAUUAUGAUGGAGGGGGGCACUGCACACGGCUAAGACAAUGAUCAACUUCUAUGUCUAUUGGGUGCCCCCUCCCCGUGUAUAAAGGAGUGGAGGAGGGGGAGGGCCGACCCUCUAUGGCGCGCCCUAGGGGAGUCCUACUCCCAUCGGGAGUAGGAUUCCCCCCUUCCAAGUAGUAGGAAUAGGAGAGAAGGAAGGGGAGGAGAGAGGGAAGGAAAGGGGGGUGGCCCCACCCAAUUCGGAUUGGGCUAGGGGGCGCCUCCCACCUUUUCCCUUCCUCUCCUCUAUUCCACUAAGGCCCAAUAAGGCCCAUAUACUCCCCGGGGGGGUUCCAGUAACCUCCUGGUACUCCGGAAAAUGCCCGAACUCAUCCGGAACCAUUCCGAUGUCCAAAUAUAGGCUUCCAAUAUAUCGAUCUUUACAUCUCGACCAUUUCGAGAUUCCUCGUCAUGUCCGUGAUCAUAUCCGGGACUCCGAACUACCUUCGGUACAUCAAAACACAUAAACUUAUAAUAUCGAUCGUCGCCAAAUGUUAAGCGUGCGGACCCUACGGGUUCGAGAACUAUGUAGACAUGACCGAGACUCAUCUCCGGUCAAUAACCAAUAGCGGAACCUGGAUGUUCAUAUUGGUUCCUACAUAUUCUACAAAGAUCUUUAUCGUUCAAACUGCACAACAACAUACGUUGUUCCCUUUGUCAUCAGUAUGUUACCUGCCCGAGAUUCGAUCGUCGCUAUCUCAAUACCUAGGUCAAUCUCGUUACCGGCAAGUCCCUUUACUCGUUCCAUAAUGCAUCAUCCCGCAACUAACUCAUUAAUCACAUUUCUUGCAAGGCUUAUAGUGAUGUGCAUUACCGAGAGGGCCCAGAGAUACCUCUCCGAUACUCGGAGUGACAAAUCCUAAUCUCGAUCUAUGCCAACUCAACAAACACCAUCGGAGACACCUGUAGAGCAUCUUUAUAGUCACCCAGUUACGUUGUGACGUUUGAUAGCACACUAAGUGUUCCUCCUGUAUUCGGGAGUUGCAUGAUCUCAUAGUCAUAGGAACAUGUAUAAGUUAUGGAGAAAGCAAUAGCAACAAACUAAAGGAUCAUCAUGCUAAGCUAACAGAUGGGUCAAGUCAAUCACAUCAUUCUCUAAUGAUGUGAUCCCGUUAAUCAAAUGACAACCCAUGUCUAUGGUCAGGAAACAUAACCAUCAUUGAUUCAACGAGCUAAUCAAGUAGAUGCAUACUAGUGACACUUUGUUUGUCUAUGUAUUCACACAUGUAAUAAGUUUCUGGUUAAUACAAUUCUAGCAUGAAUAAUAAACAUUUAUCAUGAUAUAAGGAAAUAUAAAUAACAACUUUAUUAUUGCCUCUAGGGCAUAUUUCGUUCACAGGCUUGUCGGAUUAUCCGAUGGGAUGCGGAACAAAAUCUCGCGGAUAAUGUCAUCGAUCAACGAGUGGAGGCCGAGUUGCUAUGGAGGCUGAUCCGUUGUGGGUGGUUGGAGACGAGUCAUCCUAUGGCUCUACCAGCAUUAGAGGCGGAGGAGGCUGGAACUGGAAGUAGUGCGGCACCGCGGCAACAUGGGCGAGUCAUGCGCCGGCCAUUGAGCCAAAAGGGGCGCCGACACCGCUACAUGCCGUCGAACAAACAAGAUGCGAGUGUGGACUUCACAUAAAAAUGUACAUUGUGUAGAAGUAGACAUGUGUAGAAAAACACACAAAGAUAUCGGUGAAGAAACGCCAACAAACAACAAAUAAAAACUGAAGAGAACCAUAAAAAAAUCAGUGAAGAAUCAAAGAAAACCAUGAAGACCACGGAAAACCGGUGAACAAGUGAACUAUAACAUAAAGACGAAACCGGUAAACAAAUGAAGUAAAACAAGAAAUGCCAAAGAAAGGCAUAAAAUUGUAAUCCGGCAAAUUAACAAGUGAAAGUUCUUGCUCGCCCACAUUGUACAUCACUAUUUUCAUGCUUCAGUAGCCACGCUUGACGAGAAAGAGACUUCAUUUCCUGCAAUCGCAGUGUGCCCAGUCUACUCAAUAGUGCACGGAUGCAAAAUGGUGCCAAAUGAAUAAGUAAUGACGACAUUUGGGUUUUCAACUAAGAUCAUUUCGCUCCACUCGGUAGUCACGAAUGAGUAAACAGAGGCGAAGAUGGUCUUUUCUACCACGUUGAAGCCGACAAAAGCCACAAGGAAGGGGUCAUCAUGGCAGCCCAGGUGGUAGCAGUAGUACUUGGCGCAGAGUACCAUGACCAUCCAGGUUAUUUCUUUUCCAGCACAGAGUGUCUUCAAUAGCUUUGAUUCGGUGGAAAUAACCCAUUGGUUGUCGGUAAUGGGGUUCUAAACGAUGAAAUAUGUAUCCUACUCCCUGGGCGUAUAUAAGAGGACGCGACCAUGGCGGGAGUUGACCGCAUCCUAAUCUCGGUGCUCGCAAACAAGUGGGUGGUAGGUUCCGGUGAGAAGGAAUUGAGCGACGUUGUGGCUCUCAUAGGAUUUGUUGUGGAGAUAGCACAAGAUCGGGGGCGUCCCGUGGAAGGCUCGGUAGUCACGGAAAAAAGCGGGGUCGGAUAUGAUCUCAAGGAAGGUGGUGCAGACGACGGAGGUGUGUACGGGGCUCGUUGGGUCAUCUGACGAGAUGCGGAACAAAAUCUCAUGGAUAACAUCAUCGAUCAGCGGGUGGAGGCUGAGUUGCGGUGGAGGGGGGGUUCAUUGCGGGUUGUUGGGGGCGAUUCGCCCUAUCGCUCUAUCAGCAUAAGCGGCUGAGGCUGGAAGCAGUGUGGCACCACGGCAGCAUGGGGGAAGUCGUGCACCAUCUAUCGAGCCGAAAGGGGAGCCACCGCCGCCGCGUGCCGUCAAACGAACAGGCAACCAAAGGGGAUCACACUUAAAAUUGUGUAAAAAUAGACAUGUGUGGGAAACACACACAAAGAAACUGGUCAAGAAAGCCGACAACCAACAAAGAAAAACCAAAGGAAACCAUGAAAAAUAAGCAAAGAAAAUCAUGAAAACCAUGGAAAAUCGGUAAAGAAAUGAACUAAAAUAGAAAGUUGAAAACCAGUAAUGAAACAAAGUAAAAAAAAGGAAAAACCAAAGAAAACACACAAAACCAUGGUCCUACAAAUGAACUAGUGAAAGCCCACAUUAUACAUCACUAUUUUCAUGCCGCGGUAGCCCUACUUGAUCAGGAAAUAGACUUCCUUUCCCCAACCAUGGUGUGCCCCCAUCUCCUCAAUGACAUACAGAUGCAAGAUGGUGCCAAACGAAUAUGUAACAACGACACUCUGAUUCUCAACCGAGAUCAUUUCGCCCCACUCGGUAGUCUCAGAUGAGUAAACGGAGGUGAACAUGGUCUUUUGUACCACGCUGGAGCCAAACAAAGCCAUGAGGAAGGGACCGUUAACCCAUGUGAUCGCAAUAGUCCGUGGCGCAGAGGUCCGCGACCAUCCAGGUUAUCUCCUCACAAGCACAAAGAAUCUUCAAUAGCUUGGAGUCAGUCGAAAUCACCUGCCAGUGGUCAGUGAUGGGGUCCAAACGAUGAAACCCGUAUCCUUCUCCCCAAGCCUAUAGAAGAGAGUGCGUACAUGGCGGGAGUCGACCACAUCUGAGUCUCGGUGCUCGCAAACGAGUGGGCAGAAGGCUAUAAGUGCAACUAUCCCUAGGUGGUUUUGGUAAUUCAUAACAACAUAUAGCUCAUUGAGCUAGUACUAUUCCAAGAUUAAUAUUUCAGGAAAAGCUCAAUGAAUGGCAUGGCAUGGAUGAGGAAAGUGGACCCCUCAAAAUACUAAGGACAAAAAGAUUGGCUCAAGCUCAAAGCUCAAGACUCUACAUUUUAUAUUUUAGUGAUCCAAGAUCACAUUGAGUCUAUAGGAAAAGCCAAUACUAUCAAGGAGGGAUGAGGUGUUGCUUGAUGAGGUUCUUGCUUCAUAGUGCUUAGUGAUAUGCUCCAAAACCCUCAACUACCUUCCCACAUCCACAUAUGACCUAAACCAAAAGUCAAACUCGGCCCCACCGAUUCUUUCUAUCUGGCGCCACCGAGUUCAGAUGUCAUAGCCACUGCCACAAACCCUAGGAAAAUCGGUCUCACCGAUAGGGAUCUCGGUCACACCGAGAUGGGGUUGUAAUCUCUAUGUUUCCCUUCGUAACGUUUCGGUCCUACCGAGAUGAGCGAUCGGUCCCACCGAGAUUGCAAUGUAAACUCUCUGUUUUCCUUUUGUAACAUUUCGGUCCCACCGAAAUGAGCAAUCGGUCCCACCGAGUUUACCUGACCAACUCUUUGGUUAGCUUAUUACCAAAAUCGGUCCCACCGAGUUUAUGUAAUCGGUCACACCGAGAUUACAUUAUGCCCUAACGCUAACCAUAUCGGUCCUACCGAGUUGCAUCUCAGUCCCACCGAAAAUCCUAACGGUCACUAGGUUUGCUAAAUCGGUCCGACCGAGUUUCUCAAUUCGGUCUCACCGAGAUUGGUAAAUUGUGUGUAACGGUUAGUUUUUGUGUGGAGGCUAUAUAUACCCCUCCACCCAGUCUUCAUUCAUGGAGAGAGCCAUCAGAACGUACAUGCACUUCCAAUACACAUUUUCUAAGAGAGAACCACCUACUCAUGUGUUGAGGCCAAGAUAUUCCAUUCCCACCAUAUGAAUCUUGAUCUCUAGCCUUCCCCAAGUUGCUUUCUACUCAAAUCUUCUUUCCACCAAAUCCAUAUCCUGUGAGAGAGAGUUGAGUGUUGGGGAGACUAUCAUUUGAAGCACAAGAGCAAGGAGUUCAUCAUCAACACCAUUUGUUACUUCUUGGAGAGUGGUGUCACCUAGAUUGGCUAUGUGUCACUUGGGAGCCUCCGACAAAGAUUGUGGAGUUGAACCAAGGAGUUUGUAAGGGCAAGGAGAUCGCCUACUUCGUGAAGAUCUACCGCUAGUGAGGCAAGUCCUUCGUGGGCGAUGGCCAUGAUGGGAUAGACAAGGUUGCUUCUUCGUGGACCCUUCAUGGGUGGAGCCCUCCGUGGACUCGCGCAACUGUUACCCUUCGUGGGUUGAAGUCUCCAUCAACGUGGAUGUACGAUAGCACCACCUAUCGGAACCACAACAAAAACAUCCGUGUCUCAAAUUGCGUUUGAAUUCUCCAAACCCUUCCCUUUACAUUCUUGCAAGUUGCAUGCUUUACUUUCCGCUGCUCAUAGACUCUUUGCAUGCUUGCUUGAAUUGUGUUAAGAUUGCUUGACUUGUGCUAAGAUAGCUAAAAUCUGCCAAAGACUAAAAUUGGGAAACAGAUAGAUUUUUUAUUUGGUCAAGUAGUCUAAUCACCCCCACUCUAGACAUACUUUCUAUCCUACGGGUGGUAUCAGAGGUUUGGUCUCCAUUUGCUUUGAUUUCCAUAGCUUUUGGUGGUCAUAGCCUUGGUUUCACAACCUAGGAGAGUAUGGCGUCUAGCGAGGGAAAUUACCACCGUAGAGGUCCUUACUUUGAUGGUACUAAUUUUGCUAGUUGGACGCAUAAGAUGAAAAUGCAUAUUCUUGGACAUAACCCCGCUGUUUGGGUUAUUCUAUGUGUUGUCUUGCAAGGUGAAUUCUUUGAUGGGAGAGAACCGAAUCUGAAGCUACCGCAGAAGAGUUGAAGAUGCUACAAUACAAUGCUCAAGCUUGUGAUAUCCUCUUCAACGGAUUGUGCCCCGAAGAAUUCAACAAAAUCAGCCGUCUUGAGAAUGCAAAGGAAAUUUGGGAUACUUUGAUUGAUAUGCACGAAGGUACCGACUCCGUCAAGGAAUCCAAGUUGGAUGUGCUUCAAAGUCAACUUGACAAGUUCAAAAGUAAGGAUGGUGAAGGUGUCGCUGAAAUGUACUCUAGGCUUGCUCUUAUCACAAAUGAGAUUGCCGGCUUAGGAAGUGAAGAGAUGACUGACAAAUUCAUUAUUAAGAAGAUCCUAAGAGCCUUGGAUGGAAAAUACGAUACCGUAUGCACAUUGAUCCAAAUGAUGCCAAAUUACAAAGAUCUCAAGCCAACGGAAGUCAUUGGAAGAAUUGUUGCUCAUGAGAUGUCACUCAAGGAUAAGGAGGAGCUCCAUAACAAGUCAAGUGGUGCUUACAAAGCCUCAUGUGAAGCCCCCACAUCAUCAAGUGAGAAACAAACCUUCAAUGAAGAAUUGAGCUUAAUGGUGAAGAACUUCAACAAGUUCUACAAGAAUAGAAGCAAAGAGAGAAGUUCCAAGUCAAGGUCCUACAAUGACAAAAGAUCUUCUAGUCGAGAGCGAAACUGCUACAAUUGUGGAAGACCCAGACACUACUCCAAUGAGUGUACGGCUCCCCACAAGAGAAGAGAAGAUUCUCCCAAAAGAAGAAGUAGAAGACAAGAAUCACCAUCAAGGGAGAGAAGGAGUAGGGAUGAUCGAUAUGAACGAAGACCCUCUCGAAGAAGCAAGGAUUCGGAAAGGAAGGACAAGUCAUCAAGGAGCUACACAAAACGAAGACAUCAAGCUCAUGUUGGUGAAUGGGUAUCCGGCUCCGACUCCGACAAUGACUCCGAGAGAAGCUAUCACUCCGACUCCGAAUAUACUCAAGAUGAAGGUGUUGCCAGUCUAGCACUUGUGUCAACCAACUCCUCUGACAUAUUUGAUUCACCAAAUGAAAGAAUUGGAAGAUGCUUCAUGGCCAGGUAUCACACCCCGAGUAUGUUGAUUUCAAUAGUGAUGAAGAUGACUUGUUAGGUGAUGAUGAUUUACUUGUUGACAACUAUAGUGAUGAAUACUAUGAUGAAACAAAUGACAAUGAUAAGCAGAAGAUUGAGUCUCUAACUAAAGAACUAAACACUCUUAAGUUAGCUCAUGAAACUAUCUUAGGAGAUCAUCGAGAACUUUUAAGGACUCAUGAGAAAUUACGUUUUGAAAAGCUCAACCUUGAGCAAGAGCAUGAGUUCUUAAAGGAAAUCAAUGAUGAUCUUCGCAAGAAAAGUUCUUCUUACAUUGCCAAGCGUUUACUCUUAUCCACUUACAUGCCUCAAGUCAAGUCUAGUAACAAGAACAAGAAGGAUUCUUCUUCUAGUAGUAACAACAAUCAUGCUAAAUCCAAUAUUGUUGCUUCUAGUAGUUCUCUUGAUUCCACUAAUGAUUCUCUUAGCCAAGUUACACUUGAGCAAGAAAAUAGCUUAUUGAAGGGAAUUAUAGAGAAAGGUUUUUACAAGAGCCUUGCCGGGAGUAAGCAAUUCGAGGAAAUUGUACGCAAGCAAGGAAGGCACCGGAAGAAUCAAGGUAUUGGUUUUGAAUGAAAGUUCAAUGCAAAUGGAGUUGAGUGGGAAGAAGAUCAAUACCCCAAGACGAAGUUUGUUCCUCAACAAGAGAAGUAUGAUCCUAAUUCUUUCAAAGGGACACAAGCUCAAGAUGAUCUUCCACCACAAGACCACAAGCAAAAAGGCAAGGACAAGCUUCAAGAGGAAAUUGAUGCAUUUAAAGAAGCUCCUAAGGCCUUGGUCAAGUGGGUUCCCAAGACUACAUCAAGUUCCACUUCAUCAAGUACAACUACAACUCCGAGGAUUCCCAUCAAGAUGGUGUGGAUCCCGAAGAAGAACUAGAGAGUUCUUGAGGGUGACUCCGCCAACAUACUUCACUCUUAUCAUUUUGGCAAGAACAAGUGCAAUCAACUUCCACAUCUUGCACUAGUUCAAGGAGUCACAAACCCUCUUGUUGGUAAGACAAGGGACAAGGUAACCUAAAGCUUUCAUAGACAUCAUCUUGUGUGUGCAUCACUCUAUGUCUAUGGAUAUCCUUGUUUGUUCCUUGUGGGACUAACCCGUGUAGGUAUUGAAAGUGCAACUCACUCCAAAGGAUAGCUCCAAAUGAUCUACAUCAACAUAGAGCAUCCAUAUCUUCAACAUCUACAUGAAGUCAUCAUCGACAAAACCCAAGGUUACUUCAUCCCUCUUAGGGGGGAUCUCACAUCUAGGGGGAGCUUUACUCUAACAAUUGAGUUAAAACAACUCUAACGGUGUGAACACAACAACGCUUUAUGUAAAAGUGGUAACCCCACUUGUGCUUAAACGAUGAGUAUGACCUAUGAUCAAAUGGUCUCAUUUGACUCCUAAGUCAAUAUACUCAUAUAUAAAUGACCUAGUCAUCGCCAAUUGCUUAAUAGAUGCUAGAAUUGUUUGUGCAUGCUUUGCCACAUAUUUCAUUUGUCAUUUUAUUGUGUGAGCAUGUUGGUUGCAUAAUUUACUCAUUCGAGGAUAUCCACUUGUUGUUUUGAUUGAUUGGUUUCCUUUUCUUUUGGCCAAGUGGAUGGACAAGAAUGCCUAAGAAUCUUCUCUAGCUAUCUAUGAUUUUCUCGUCUCAAACUCUAUUCAUGCCGCAUCACAAAGUUUGAUCAAGUCAGAUUCAAACCACUCUGUGUGAGGAGCACUCGGAGUCCCCGAUUCAUCAUAGACUUAAACUUCCAAAACUUCUUUGUGCGUUUCGGUCUGACCGAUUCAUCCAUUUCGGUCAUACCGAGAUCACUAAGUCGAUCUAGGCUUUCAAUCUCGGUGCAACCGAUUUGAACUUUUCGGUCACACCGAGUUGCAGCAACUGCUUGCAGUUAUGCAUCUCGGUGCCACCGAGUUUUCCACUCGGUCACACCGACAGGGUCGGGCUAUAUAUACCCAUGGGCAAAAUUUUGGAAAUUUUCUCCGAACUCUUUCGCCCGCGCUUAGCCCGCUCUGCCUCCAGGGUCUCCAGAUCGUCCUCCUCAUCGCCAGUUGCCUCCUGCUGCUGGUCUCCGCCGCUGCCAAUGGGAAUCAUCCCUGACGUUGCCGCCGUAGCGAGUUCAUCACCGAACUAGGGUAUGAACUUGAUCAUUGUGCUAUCCUUAUCUGAUUCCUAGCACAUUGUGUUCGCCAUGAAUCUUGCCAUGAUUGAAACUACCUUAUCCAGUCAAAACACUCUGUAGAUUAGAGAUGAUUUGAAAAUUUAGGGUUAGGUUUCCACCGAAACCAUCUCAGACCAACCGAGUUGUGGAACUCGGUACCACCGAUUCGGCUCAGGCCAUUGCACAUGUGAUUCUCGGUCUAACCACAUCUGAGUCUCGGUGCUCGCAAACGAGUGGGAAGAAGGCUAUAAGUGCAACUAUCCCUAGGUGGUUUUGGUAAUUCAUAACAACAUAUAGCUCAUUGAGCUAAUACUAUUCCAAGAUUAAUAUUUCAGGAAAAGCUCAAUGAAUGGCAUGGCAUGGAUGAGGAAAGUGGACCCCUCAAAAUACAAAGGACAAAAAGAUUGGCUCAAGCUCAAAGCUCAAGACUCUACAUUUUAUAUUUCAGUGAUCCAAGAUCACAUUGAGUCUAUAGGAAAAGCCAAUACUAUCAAGGAGGGAUGAGGUGUUGCUUGAUGAGGUUCUUGCUUCUUAGUGCUUAGUGAUAUGCUCCAAAACCCUCAACUACCUUCCCACAUCCACAUAUGACCUAAACCAAAAGUCAAACUCGGCCCCACCGAUUCUUUCUAUCUGGCGCCACCGAGUUCAGAUGUCAUAGCCACUGCCACAAACCCUAGGAAAAUCGGUCUCACCGAUAGGGAUCUCGAUCACACCGAGAUGGGGUUGUAAUCUCUAUGUUUCCCUUCGUAACGUUUCGGUCCUACCGAGAUGAGCGAUCGGUCCCAUCGAGAUUGCAAUGUAAACUCUUUGUUUUCCUUUUGUAACAUUUCGGUCCCACCGAAAUGAGCGAUCGGUCCCACCGAGUUUACCUGACCAACUCUUUGGUUAGCUUAUUACCAAAACCGGUCCCACCGAGUUUGUGUAAUCGGUCACACCGAGAUUACGUUGUGCCCUAACGCUAACCAUAUCGGUCUACCGAGUUGCAUCUCAGUCCCACCGAAAAUCCUAACGGUCACUAGGUUUGCUAAAUCGUCCGACCGAGUUUCUCAAUUCGGUCUCACCGACAUUGGUAAAUUGUGUGUAACGGUUAGUUUUUGUGUGGAGGCUAUAUAUACCCCUCCACCCACUCUUCAUUCAUGGAGAGAGCCAUCAGAACAUACAUGCACUUCCAAUACACAUUUUCUGAGAGAGAACCACCUACUCAUGUGUUGAGGCCAAGAUAUUCCAUUCCCACCAUAUGAAUCUUGAUCUCUAGCCUUCCCCAAGUUGCUUUCCACUCAAAUCUUCUUUCCACCAAAUCCAUAUCCUGUGAGAGAGAGUUGAGUCUUGGGGAGACUAUCAUUUGAAGCACAAGAGCAAGGAGUUCAUCAUCAACACACCAUUUGUUACUUCUUGGAGAGUGGUGUCUCCUAGAUUGGCUAGGUGACACUUGGGAGCCUCCGACAAAGAUUGUGGAGUUGAACCAAGGAGUUUGUAAGGGCAAGGAGAUCGCCUACUUCGUGAAGAUCUACCGCUAGUGAGGCAAGUCCUUCGUGGGCGAUGGCCAUGAUGGGAUAGACAAGGUUGCUUCUUCGUGGACCCUUCGUGGGUGGAACCCUCCGUGGACUCGCGCAACCGUUACCCUUCAUGGGUUGAAGUCUCCAUCAACGUGGAUGUACGAUAGCACCACCUAUCGGAACCACGGCAAAAACAUCUGUGUCUCAAAUUGCGUUUGAAUUCUCCAAACCCUUCCCUUUACAUUCUUGCAAGCUGCAUGCUUUACUUUCCGCUGCUCAUAGACUCUUUGCAUGCUUGCUUGAAUUGUGUAAAGAUUGCUUGACUUGUGCUAAGAUAGCUAACAUCUGCGAAAGACUAAAAUUGGGAAAAUGAUAGAUUUUUAUUUGGUCAAGUAGUCUAAUCACCCCCCCUCUAGACAUACUUUCGAUCCUACAAAGGCUCCAGUGGUAAAGAAUUGAGAGACGUCGUUGCUCUCGUAGGAUUUGUUAUUGAGGCGGCCCAAGAUCAUGGGCGUCCCGUGGAAGGCCAUGUAGUCGCGAAAAAAGGCAGGGCCAGAGAUGAUCUCUAGCAAGGUGGUGCCGAAGAUGAAGGUGUGGACGAGGAUCGUCGGGCCAUCCGACAGGAUGCAGGACAAAAUCUCACAGAUAACGUUGUCGAUCAGCGAGUGGAGGCUGAGUUGCAGUGGAGGUGGAUUCAUUCUUGGUGGUUGGGGGAAAGUCGCCCUAUCACUCUAUAAGCAUGAGCGACGGCGCAGCGGAGGCUGAAAGUAGUGCAGCACCACAGCAACAUGGGGGAGUCAUUCGCCAGCCGUUGAGCCAAGAGUGGCGCCGCUGCCACUACGUGUCGUCGAACAAAUAGACUGUGAGUGUGGACUUCACAUAAAAAUGUACAUUCUGUAAAGGUAGACAUGUGUAGAAACACACACACAAAGAUACCGGUGAAGAAACACAAAAAACCAACAAACAAAAAAUGAAGAGAACCAGAAAAAAUCACGAAGAAGCGAAGAUAACCAUGAAUACCAUGGAAACCUGGUGAACAAGUGAACUAAAACAGAAAGAUGAAAAUCGGAAAACAAACAAAGUAAAAUUGAAAAAAAAGAAAACGUGAAAAAUUGUAAUCCUGUAAAUUAACGAGUGAAAGUUCUUGCUCGUCCACACUGUACAUCACUAUUUUCAUGCUCUAGUAGCCACACUUGAUGGCUAAGAGAAUUUUCUUUUUCCUGCAACCGCGGUGUGCCCCGUCUACUCAAUGGCACACGGAUGCAAAAUGGUGUCAAACUGAUAAGUAACAAUGGCAUUCGGGUUCUCAACCAAGAUCAUUUUGCUCCACCCGGUAGUCUCGGAUGAGUAUACGGAGGUGAACACGGUCUUUUUCUACCACGUUGGAGCGGACGAAAGAUAAGAGGAAGGGAUCAUCAUGGUAGCCCAGGUAGUCUCAACAAUCCUUGGCACAGAGGACCACAACCAUCCUGGUUAUUACCUCUCCACCACAAAGUAUCUUAAAUAGCUAGGAGUCAGUGGAAAUCACCCACCAAUUUUUGUUGAUGGGGUCCCAAACGAUGAAAUCUGCAUCCUUCUCCCGAGGUGUGUAGAAGAGGACGCGGCCAUGGCGGGAGUCGACCGCAUCCUAGUCGUCGGGCUCGCAAAUGAGUGGGCAGAAAGCUCCGCUGGGAACAAAUUGAGCAACGUCGUGGCUCUCGUAGGAAUUGAUGUGGAGGUAUCCCAAGAUUGGGGGCAUCCCGUGGAAGGCCCGGUAGUCACGAAAAAAAGCGGGGUAAGAGAUGAUCUCAAGCAAGGUGGCAGAUAACGGAGGCAUGGAUGGGGCUCAUCGGGUCAUCCGAUGGGAUGCGGAACAAAAUAUCGUGGAUAGCAUCGUCGAUCAGCGAGUGGAGGCUGAGUUGCGGUGGAGGCGGAUUCAUGGCGGUUUGUUGGGGCCGAGUUGCCCUAUCGUUCUAUCAGCAUUAGCGGCAAAGGGGCGGAGGUUGCAAGUAGUGUGGUAUCGCGACAGCAUGGACUAGCGGUGCACCACCCGUUGAGCCAAAAGGGGCGCCACGCCGCUGCGUGUCAUCGAACGAACAGGCUACCAGUGGGGACUACACUUGAAAAAUGUACAUUGUGUAAAAGUAGACAUAUGUGGGAAACACACACAAAAAAACUGAUGAAGAAACACCAAAACACAACAAAGAAAAAACAAAGAAAACCAUAAAAAUCAGUGAAGAAGAAAAGAAAACUAUGAAAACCAUAGAAAAACGGUGAAGAAACGAACUAAAACAGAAAGAUGGAAAAUAGUAAUGAAAUAAAGUAAAACAGGAAAUCCCAAAGAAAACGAAAAAUACCUUAGCCCUACCAAUUAAUAAGUGAAAUUUCUUGCUCGCCCACAUUGGACAUCACUAUUUUCAUGCUGUAGUAGCCCCACUUUAUGGGGAUAUACACUUUCUUUCCCCCAACCGUAGUGUGCCCCGUCUCCAAUGGCAUACAAAUGCAAGAUGGUGUCAAACGGAUACGUAACGAUGCCACUCUGGUUCUCAACCGAGAUCAUUUCGCUCCACUCGGUUGUCUUGGAUGAGUAAAUGGAGGCAAACAAGGUCUUCUCUGCCACGUUGGAACCCAUGAAAGCCAUGAGGAUGGGACUGCCAUGGUAGCCCAGGAGUCGCAAUUGUCCUUGGCGCAGAGGUCUAUGACCAUCCAAGUUAUCUCCUCUCCUGCAGAAAGUAUCUUCAAUAGCUUGGAGUAGGUGGAACUCACCAUCUAGUUGCCAUGAUGGGGUCCCAAACGAUGAAAUCUAGUGGGAAAGAAUUAAGCGACAUCGUUGCUUUCAUAGGAUUUGUUGUGGAGUUAGCCCAAGACCGUGGGCGUCCCAUGGAAGGCCUGAUAGUCGUGAAAAAAGGCGCGGUCAAAGAUAAUCUCGAGCAAGGUGGUGUAGACGGCGAAGGCAUGGACAAGGCUUGUCGGACUAUCCCAUGGGAUGCGGAACAAAAUCUCGUGGAUAACAUCGUCGAUCAACGAGUGGAGGCCGAGUUGAAGUGGAGGCAGAUCCAUUGUGGGUGGUUGGAGGCGAGUCCUCCUAUCGCUCUACCAUAAUUAGAGGCGGAGGAGGCUGGAAGCAGUGCGGCAUCGCGGCAACACGGGGGAGUUGUGCGUCGGCUGUUGAGCCAAAAGGGGCGCCGACGCCGUUACAUGUCGUCGAACAAACAGGAUGCGAGUGUGGACUUCACAUAAAGAUGUACAUUGUGUAGAAGUAGACAUGUGUAGAAAAACACACAAAGAUAUGUCAAAGAAAAGGCAAAAAAUUGUAAUCCUACAAAUUAACGGGUGAAAGUUCUUGCUCACCCACAUUGUACAUCACUAUUUUCAUGCUCCAGUAGCCACACUUGACGGGAAAGAGACAUUCUUUCCUGCAACCGCAGUGUGCCCUGAUACGUCUCCGACGAUCUAUACUUUUUGGUUGUUCCAUGCUGUUAUAUUAUCCAUCUUGGAUGUUUUAUAAUCGUUUUAUACUAUUUUUUGGUACUAACCUAUUGAUAUAGUGCCAACUGCCGGUUGUUGUUUUCUGCAUGUUUUUUACAUCGCAGGAAAUCAAUUCCAAACAGAGUCCAAAUGCAACGAAACUUUACGGAGAUUUUUUAUGGACGAGAAGACACCUAAUGGGCCAAGGCAGCGCCUGGGGGUGCUUCAAGGGGAGCACAACCCACCACGGCGCGCCAGGAGGCCCAGGCGCGCCCUGGUGGGUUGUGCCCACCUCGGGUGCCCCCCGGACCGCCUCUUUGCUCUAUAAAUACCCAAAUAUUCCAGAAACCCUAGAGGAGUCGAUAAAAAUCAAUUCCAGUUGCCGCAGAGUCCAGAACCAUCAUAUCCAAUCUAGACACCAUCACGGAGGGGUUCACCACUUCCAUUGGUGCCUCUCCGAUGAUGCAUGAGUAGUUCUUUAUAGACCUUCGGGUCCGUAGUUAGAUGCAAAGGCCGGGGGUAUAUCCCCUUUUUCUAAAAAAAAAACAAUUGCUCAGAGAAGACAUAAGAUACGUUUAACCAGUUUAAAUUGUUGUGACAACUUUAAGUCUUGUUGGAUAGAUUGGCAUUUAAUCAGAAGACCAAAUAUCCACCUUAUUCUCCUAAGAUCACUUAGACCUUGCCCGAUCCCUUGAUUACACAUAUCUUCUAGGUUAUCACUUUUUUCCCAUGUCAUUUCAUUAUUUUUUUUGAAAUAUUGUAAACACAUAUAUUCCAAAAGAAAAAAAAUAACUAUCUCUGUAAAUCAUGAGUUUGCAAACAAGUUAACUUAAUUCAAACAAUGUUGAUAACAUUAAAAAAACUGUUUCUGACAUUUUAAAAAUGUUCAUGUCAUUAAAAAAUGUAUUUGACAUUUUUACAAAAUGUUUACACAAUGUAAAAGAAUUGCGUAAUUUAUAAAAAAACUACCAUUCAAAAACAUCAAACUUACAUUUUUAAAUGUUCAGGCGUUUCGUAAAUAUGACCAUGACAAUUUUAAGAUAUGUUUAUACAAUCUACAAAAAUGAUUGCUUAGUUUAAAUAAAAAAUCAAUGCAUAUUUUGAAAAGUGUGUAUAACAUUUUGGAAAAAUGUGCAAAAAUCAUGUGUUUGAAAAGGUGUUAAUUGUGUAUUCAUAAAAUGUAUAAAAAAUCAUUUACAUGUAUACCAACAAUGUACAAUGUGUUCAAAAAAUAAAUAAUAUUUAAAAAAUCAUGUAUUUUCAAAAUGUUAAACGUGUAUAAAAAAGUUCUUGAUGUAUAUGAAAAAAAUACGGUGUACAGGAAAAUUCAGAUAUAAUUGAUAAAAGGGAAAGAAAAGAAUAAGAAAAAGGAGGAAAAGAUAUUCACAAAAUAUGUAUUCAAAAAAAUGUACAUCAUGUAUUUGAAAAAUGUUUAUCAUAUAUUUAAAAAAGUUCCAAACAUGUAUUUAAAAAAUCAACAUAUUUUCAAUAUUAAAAACAUGAAUUCUUAAAAAUGUACAUUGUGUCUCUGAAAAAUGGUCGACGUGUAUCAAUAAAAUGUACUACUUCUAAACUAGAAGUGUGCAUUGUGCUAAAGUAGACAUGUGUAGAAAACAAACAGAGAAAAAACGGUGAGGAAAUGCCAAAGAUCAAAGAAACCCAAUUUAAGAAAGAAAGAAAAAACGAAGAAAACAGGCAAAAACCGGCGAAGAAGCAAAGAAAACCAUGAAAACCGGCGAAGAAAUGAACUAAAACAUAAAGACGAAAAAGCAGUAAAGAAACGAAGUAAAAUAGGGAAAAUCAAAGUAAACACGAAAUCAGUAGUCCGGCAAAUUAACAAGUGAAAGUUCUUGUUCGCUCACAUUGUACAUCACUAUUUAUAAGCUCCAGUAGCCCCACCUGAUGAGGAAAUGGACUUUUUUCCCCACAACCGCAGUGUGGCCCGUCUCAUGAUGGCAUAUAGAUGCAAGAUGGUGCCAAACGGGUACGUAACGACGACAUUCGGGUUCUCAACCGAGAUCAUUUUGCUCCACUCAGUAGUCUCAGAUGAGUAAACAAAGGUGAACAAUGGUCUUUUCCUACCACUUUGGAGCCCACGAAAGAUAAGAGGAAGGGACCGUCAUGUUAGCCUAGGUGGUCGCAACAGUCCUUGGCACAGAGGACCGCGACCAUCCAGGUUAUGUCCUAUCCAUCACAAAGUAUCUUAAAUAGCUUGGAGUUGUUGGAAAUCACUCGCUGGUUGUCGUUGCUGGGGUCCCAAACAAUGAAAUAUGUAUCCUUCUCCCGGGGUGUGUAGAAGAGGGCACGACCAUGGCGGGAGUUGACCGCAUCCUAGUCUUCGUGCUCGCAAUUGAGUGGGCAGAAAGCUUCGGUGGGAACAAAUUCAGCAACGUCGUGGCUCUCGUAGGAUUUGUUGUGGAGGUAGCCCAAGACCGGGGCCGUCCCGUGGAAGGCCUGGUAGCCACAAAAAAAAGCGGGGUAAGAGAUGAUCUCAAGCAAGGUGGCACGGCGGAGGCGUGGACGGAGCUCGUCGGGUCAUCUGACAGGAUGCGGAACAAAAUACGGCGGAUAGCGUCGUUGAUCAGCGAGUGGAGGCUGAGUUGCGGUGGAGGUGGAUUCAUGGCGGGUGGUUGGGGCGAGUUUCCCUAUCGCUCUAUCAGCAUUAGUGGCAAAGGGGCGGAGGUUGGAAGCAGUGUGGCGUCGCGGCGGCAUGGAGUAGCGGUGCACCACCCGUUGAGCCGAAAGGGGCGCCACACCGCUGCAUGCCGUCGAACGAACAGGCUACCAGUGGGGACUACACUUGAAAAUGUACAUUGUGUAAAAGUAGACAUAUGUGGGAAACACACACAAAAAGCUGAUGAAGAAACGCCAAAACACAACAAAGAAAAACCAAAGAAAGCCAUAAAAAAUCAGUGAAGAAGCAAAGAAAACCAUGAAAACCACAGAAAAUAGGUGAAGAAAUGAACUAAAACAGAAAGAUGGAAAAUAGUAAUGAAACAAAGUAAAACAGGAAAACCCGAAGAAAAC
This 25291-nucleotide long non-coding RNA is filed under the name Triticum aestivum (bread wheat). RNAcentral describes it as "long non-coding RNA (TAES_LNC025065)". The record is from RNAcentral. Lineage: Eukaryota; Viridiplantae; Streptophyta; Magnoliopsida; Poales; Poaceae.